GGCUCAGAUUGAACGCUGGCGGCAUGCCUUACACAUGCAAGUCGAACGGCAGCGGACCUUCGGGUGCCGGCGAGUGGCGAACGGGUGAGUAGUAUAUCGGAACGUACCUUCAGUGGGGGAUAACGUAGCGAAAGUUACGCUAAUACCGCAUAUUCUGUGAGCAGGAAAGCAGGGGAUCGCAAGACCUUGCGCUGAUUGAGCGGCCGAUAUCAGAUUAGCUAGUUGGUGAGGUAAAGGCUCACCAAGGCGACGAUCUGUAGCGGGUCUGAGAGGAUGAUCCGCCACACUGGAACUGAGACACGGUCCAGACUCCUACGGGAGGCAGCAGUGGGGAAUUUUGGACAAUGGGCGCAAGCCUGAUCCAGCCAUGCCGCGUGAGUGAAGAAGGCCUUCGGGUUGUAAAGCUCUUUCGGCCGGGAAGAAAUCGCACAGGUUAAUACCCUGUGUGGAUGACGGUACCGGAAUAAGAAGCACCGGCUAACUACGUG
This 488-nucleotide ribosomal RNA is filed under the name uncultured bacterium. RNAcentral's name for it is "bacterial SSU rRNA". It matches the Rfam family "Bacterial small subunit ribosomal RNA", at positions 21 to 507 of the family's 1533-position model. The record is from RNAcentral.